RNAcentral lists this ribosomal RNA (496 nucleotides) under Pseudomonas sp. RNAcentral describes it as "bacterial SSU rRNA". It matches the Rfam family "Bacterial small subunit ribosomal RNA", at positions 64 to 555 of the family's 1533-position model. Lineage: Bacteria; Pseudomonadati; Pseudomonadota; Gammaproteobacteria; Pseudomonadales; Pseudomonadaceae. The record is from RNAcentral.
GAGCGGUAGAGAGAAGCUUGCUUCUCUUGAGAGCGGCGGACGGGUGAGUAAUGCCUAGGAAUCUGCCUGGUAGUGGGGGAUAACGUUCGGAAACGGACGCUAAUACCGCAUACGUCCUACGGGAGAAAGCAGGGGACCUUCGGGCCUUGCGCUAUCAGAUGAGCCUAGGUCGGAUUAGCUAGUUGGUGAGGUAAUGGCUCACCAAGGCGACGAUCCGUAACUGGUCUGAGAGGAUGAUCAGUCACACUGGAACUGAGACACGGUCCAGACUCCUACGGGAGGCAGCAGUGGGGAAUAUUGGACAAUGGGCGAAAGCCUGAUCCAGCCAUGCCGCGUGUGUGAAGAAGGUCUUCGGAUUGUAAAGCACUUUAAGUUGGGAGGAAGGGCAGUUACCUAAUACGUGAUUGUUUUGACGUUACCGACAGAAUAAGCACCGGCUAACUCUGUGCCAGCAGCCGCGGUAAUACAGAGGGUGCAAGCGUUAAUCGGAAUUACU